This 253-nucleotide ribosomal RNA is filed under the name uncultured bacterium. Its description in RNAcentral is "partial 16S ribosomal RNA". It matches the Rfam family "Bacterial small subunit ribosomal RNA", at positions 524 to 776 of the family's 1533-position model. The record is from RNAcentral.
AACGUAGGAGACAACCGUUAUCCGGAGUUACUGGGCGUAAAGGGCGUGUAGGUGGUUGCGUAAGUCUGGCGUGAAAUAUCUCGGCUUAACCGAGGCAGGUCGUCGGAUACUGCGUAACUGGAGGACGGUAGAGGCGUGUGGAAUUCCGGGUGUAGUGGUGAAAUGCGUAGAGAUCCGGAGGAACACCAGUGGCGAAGGCGACACGCUGGGCCGUACCUGACACUGAUGCGCGACAGCAUGGGGAGCAAACAGG